CACGUAUGGGGCGAGCGUUGUUCGGAAUUAUUGGGCGUAAAGGGCGUGUAGGCGGCCCGGUAAGUCUGGUGUGAAAGACCGCAGCUUAACUGCGGGACCGCGCUGGAAACUGCAGGGCUUGAGUUCUGGAGGGGAAGUUAGAAUUCCCGGUGUAGGGGUGAAAUCUGUAGAUAUCGGGAAGAAUACCGGUGGCGAAGGCGAGCUUCUAACCAUGAACUGACGCUGAGGCGCGAAAGCGUGGGGAG
Molecule: ribosomal RNA, 245 nt
Filed under: uncultured Salinispira sp.
Lineage: Bacteria; Pseudomonadati; Spirochaetota; Spirochaetia; Spirochaetales; Spirochaetaceae
Description: partial 16S ribosomal RNA
Rfam family: Bacterial small subunit ribosomal RNA
Source: RNAcentral